Molecule: ribosomal RNA, 116 nt
Filed under: Pantoea anthophila
Lineage: Bacteria; Pseudomonadati; Pseudomonadota; Gammaproteobacteria; Enterobacterales; Erwiniaceae
Source: RNAcentral
CCUGGCGGCUGUAGCGCGGUGGUCCCACCUGACCCCAUGCCGAACUCAGAAGUGAAACGCCGUAGCGCCGAUGAUAGUGUGGGGCCUCCCCAUGCGAGAGUAGGGAACUGCCAGGC